RNAcentral lists this ribosomal RNA (679 nucleotides) under uncultured Alphaproteobacteria bacterium. Its description in RNAcentral is "bacterial SSU rRNA". It matches the Rfam family "Bacterial small subunit ribosomal RNA", at positions 28 to 751 of the family's 1533-position model. The record is from RNAcentral. Lineage: Bacteria; Pseudomonadati; Pseudomonadota; Alphaproteobacteria.
AACGAACGCUGGCGGCAGGCUUAACACAUGCAAGUCGAACGCUCACCUUCGGGUGGGAGUGGCAGACGGGUGAGUAACGCGUGGGAACGUACCCUUUGGUUCGGAAUAACCCAGGGAAACUUGGGCUAAUACCGGAUACGCCCUUCGGGGGAAAGGUUUACUGCCGAAGGAUCGGCCCGCGUCGGAUUAGCUAGUUGGUGGGGUAAAAGCCUACCAAGGCGACGAUCCGUAGCUGGUCUGAGAGGAUGAUCAGCCACACUGGGACUGAGACACGGCCCAGACUCCUACGGGAGGCAGCAGUGGGGAAUAUUGGACAAUGGGCGCAAGCCUGAUCCAGCCAUGCCGCGUGAGUGAAGAAGGCCUUAGGGUUGUAAAGCUCUCUCAGCGGGGAAGAUAAUGACGGUACCCGCAGAAGAAGCCCCGGCUAACUUCGUGCCAGCAGCCGCGGUAAUACGAAGGGGGCUAGCGUUGUUCGGAAUUACUGGGCGUAAAGCGCGCGUAGGCGGGUGAUUAAGUCAGGGGUGAAAUGCCGAGGCUCAACCUCGGAACUGCCUUUGAUACUGGUCGCCUGGAGUUCGGGAGAGGUAAGUGGAAUUCCGAGUGUAGAGGUGAAAUUCGUAGAUAUUCGGAGGAACACCAAAAGCGAAGGCGGCUUACUGGCCCGAUACUGACCCUGAGG